AGAUGUGAAGGGGACCUGGCUGCAAUGACUGUCACACCACCGAUCACCAGGCUAAUUCAGCUGCUCUAGCUGGCUAGGUGGGUGUCCUCUUCCUCCCUCACGGUUCCAUGUGUGUCCCCCCAGGAGCCAAACUCUAGAUUGAAGAGGACCUUCUCUGAUAAAAGACCAUUCUUUACACAAGUGUAUAUGAGUAGCUGUGCUUCCCUGCCAAAAACUCCAAAUGUAAAACACCUCAUGUGCAACUCAUCAUUAAUACAGCACUGUGUGAUAUUCAGAUAGAAAUUUAGAUGUUUCCACCCUUU
This is an unclassified non-coding RNA of Fukomys damarensis (Damara mole-rat), 302 nucleotides long. Its record names the gene 7SK. It matches the Rfam family "7SK RNA". From Rfam's summary of the family: 7SK was discovered as an abundant small nuclear RNA in the mid-70s but a possible function has only recently been suggested. The record is from Ensembl. NCBI's taxonomy places the organism in Eukaryota, Metazoa, Chordata, Mammalia, Rodentia, Bathyergidae.